UUUCGUUAACGUCAAUACUGAAAAAAGGUACUGGGUCUGCGUCGCGGUGUUUACUUAAAGUGAGGACUUCGGGAUGAUGGACCUGAUGAGAGAACGCGACCCGAAGAAUUGUAGAAACGAGUUUGCGUAAGUGAAGAACGCCGAUAAAGUACUCAAAGAGUAAAAGUACUCAAAAGCAAAAAACUCGACGAUACUGUUGUUCAUGGCAACUGUCUGUGGCUUGUUCCAUAUUUGUGUAAUACUUUUGGACGCCGCCUAUCCUAGUUGAACUUUACGUCCUCGUUGAGUUGAUGGUGUAAUCCGUGUUGUUGGCUUUUUGUAGAUGUUUUAUUUAUAGGGAUUUUCUAGGCUGAUUGUAAAGCUCCCACAGGAGCUUGUAAGAAGACCUGAAAUCUACUUUCAAUGGAUGACGUUCCAUAAUGUUUUUUAGCACUGCUGUUGUGCUGACAACAGUCCAAAAC
Molecule: long non-coding RNA, 461 nt
Organism: Aethina tumida (small hive beetle)
Lineage: Eukaryota; Metazoa; Arthropoda; Insecta; Coleoptera; Nitidulidae
Exons: 3
Source: RefSeq, a predicted model, not a curated record